CGGCGUGCCUCGGCAUCA
RNAcentral lists this small nuclear RNA (18 nucleotides) under Arabidopsis thaliana (thale cress). RNAcentral describes it as "snRNA_11397". Lineage: Eukaryota; Viridiplantae; Streptophyta; Magnoliopsida; Brassicales; Brassicaceae. The record is from RNAcentral.